This 450-nucleotide ribosomal RNA is filed under the name uncultured bacterium. RNAcentral describes it as "partial 16S ribosomal RNA". It matches the Rfam family "Bacterial small subunit ribosomal RNA", at positions 354 to 796 of the family's 1533-position model. The record is from RNAcentral.
GUGGGGAAUAUUGGACAAUGGGCGAAAGCCUGAUCCAGCCAUGCCGCGUGUGUGAAGAAGGUCUUCGGAUUGUAAAGCACUUUAAGUUGGGAGGAAGGGCAGUAAGUUAAUACCUUGCUGUUUUGACGUUACCGACAGAAUAAGCACCGGCUAACUUCGUGCCAGCAGCCGCGGUAAUACGAAGGGUGCAAGCGUUAAUCGGAAUUACUGGGCAUAAAGCGCGCGUAGGUGGUUUUGUAAGUUGGAGGUGAAAUCCCCGGGCUCAACCUGGGAACUGCCUCCAAAACUGCAUGACUAGAGUACGGUAGAGGGUAGUGGAAUUUCCUGUGUAGCGGUGAAAUACGUAGAUAUAGGAAGGAACACCAGUGGCGAAGGCGACUACCUGGACUGAUACUGACACUGAGGUGCGAAAGCGUGGGGAGCAAACAGGAUUAGAAACCCUAGUAGUCC